This is a non-coding RNA of Pimephales promelas (fathead minnow), 452 nucleotides long. Lineage: Eukaryota; Metazoa; Chordata; Actinopteri; Cypriniformes; Leuciscidae. The record is from RefSeq and is a predicted model, not a curated record.
UCACCCUAGCCUGCUGUCCAGAAUCCAGCCACAUAUCUACCAGCUGGCCUUCAGUGCCACUAAAGCCUCUGGUUUUAGGGUAUGUGACAUCAAGGCAUCAGAGCAAAGGCCUAAUCACGUUAACAUCCACAACCAGACGCUCCACUCAUUUGACUAAUCAAAGAGAACAGCUCGUUCAGAGAGAAGAGAGGCACUGUAUGAGGGACGUCUGAGAGAGAAAAACAUCAAAAGGCAACAUAAUCCAGAGGCUGAGGAAUGCAGCUGGGUAGACUUCAUGUGGCCACCUGGGUUCUUCUCAAGUCUAACCCACUUCCAGAGCACCCUUAGAGGUCUGCAGAGUCUGUUGAAUGGCAUUGCAAAGGGAAAUGCUGCAGUUGCAGGCGCGUCCAUCAUCAGCACCACAGUUGAUUGCACACUGGCCUAAAUUCCUGCAUCCAAAUGAGCAUAACCAA